RNAcentral lists this ribosomal RNA (1452 nucleotides) under metagenome. Its description in RNAcentral is "SSU rRNA". It matches the Rfam family "Eukaryotic small subunit ribosomal RNA", at positions 31 to 1426 of the family's 1831-position model. The record is from RNAcentral.
GUUGUCUCUGAGACUAAGCCAUGCAUGUCUAAGUAUAAAUUAAUUUUUACGGUGAAACUGCGGACGGCUCAUUAAAUCAGUUAUAACCUACUUGAUCGUGUGACUUUAUUCGGAUAACCCUAGUAAUUCUAGAGCUAAUACGUGCUAAAAGCCUUAACUUCCAGCAAUGGGGGAAGAGGUGUAUUUAUUAGAAACUAAAACCAAUCAGCUUCGGCUGUUUGAGAUGAUUCAUAAUAACUCGGCAAAUUACGGGAAAAUUCCUGUGAUGAUUCAAACGGAUUUCUGACCUAUCAACUUUAGAUGGCAAAGUAGGGGUUUGCCAUGGUGACAACGGGUGACGGGGAAUUAGGUUUCGAUUCCGGAGAGGGAGCCUGAGAAACGGCUACCACUUCCGAGGAAGGCAGCAGGCGCGCAAAUUACCCAAUGCUAAUUCGGCGAGGUAGUGACAAGAAAUACCAAUGUAGGACCCAACGGGUACUACGUUUGGAAUGAGAACAAUUUAAAAACCUUAACGAGGAACAAUUGGAGGGCAAGUCUGGUGCCAGCAGCCGCGGUAAUUCCAGCUCCAAUAGUGUAUAUUAAAGUUGCUGCGGUUAAAAAGCUCGUAGUUGGAUUACGAAGUGGUGUUUAAAUGUCAUUUUGGUUUGUUCGUCUUUCGGGGCAUUCAGGUCAACUUGGCUUUUACUCACUGUUGUCAUUGUCUUUGCCCAAGGUAUAUGCCUUGUGUGCAUGGCAUUGACCUUCUAUUUUAUGGUAACGUUGUAUCUUUCGGGGUACAUUCAUUCCAUAUAGUUUACUUUGAAAAAAUUAGGGUGUUUAAAGCAGGCGAAAAGGCUUCGGAAUAUAUUAGCAUGGGAUAAUAGAAUACGAUCUAGGUCGUAAUUUGUUGGUUUCUACGGCUUAGGUAAUGAUUGACAGGGAUAGUUGGGGUCGCUCGUAUUGAGUUGUCAGAGGUGAAAUUCUAGGAUUAACUCAAGACGAACUAAUGCGAAAGCAUUCGGCAAGGAUGUUUUCAUUAAUCAAGAACGAAAGUUGGGGGAUCGAAGAUGAUCAGAUACCGUCGUAGUCUCAACUGUAAACUAUGUCGACCGAGGAUCCGGUAGCGUUACAUGGAUGACCUUCCGGGCACUCUGUGAGAAAUCAUAAGUAUUCGGAUUUCGGGGGGAGUAUGGUCGCAAGGCUGAAACUUAAAGGGAUUGACGGAAGGGCACCACCAGGAGUGGAAUCUGCGGCUUAAUUUGACCCAACACGGGAAAACUUACCAGGUCCGGACACAGUGAGAAUUGACAGAUUGAGAGCUCUUUCUUGAUUUUGUGGGUGGUGGUGCAUGGCCGUUUUUAGUUGGUGGAGUGAUUUGUCUGGUUAAUUCCGUUAACGAACGAGACCUUAACCUAUUAAAUAGCUGCGCGAACCCAGGUUCUUUAACCAUUCUCUCCUUCGGGGGGGCGUGGU